Molecule: non-coding RNA, 755 nt
Organism: Lolium perenne
Lineage: Eukaryota; Viridiplantae; Streptophyta; Magnoliopsida; Poales; Poaceae
Source: RefSeq, a predicted model, not a curated record
UGAGGAUCGUGGCCGCCGCCAUCAUAGAGAAGGGCAAAAGUACAUCGAGCCAAGCUGUGUUGAUUCUGGCCUUAUCUGCCGCCUCACAACCUGUAUGCUGCCACCAUCAUGAGAUCAGGUGCUUGGGGAUGAAUCUCAACAUCGCUGUUGAUCUACAUCAGCUCAGAAAGUUAGUGGGGAACUGGGGAUAAAAGGCUGAAGUGACAAUGCUGAUGCAGCCUGACACCACCGCACCAGGUUUAUACCUAGAAGAUGAAUUAAUUUAGACCCAAGAACCUACGUGAGGUGGACGGUGAUGGUUCCAUCCAUGGAGGCAUGGAGCUUGAGAUCAUUGUUGUCCAGGAGGGAGCCGGGCUCACCUGGUUCUUUUUUUUGGUCAACUGUGUCGUUUAGUUCGCGAUCUCAGUGCGACGAAUCAGCCAUGCAAGUUGCACACUUAUUUCAGGGUUUAUAUGGAUUCAUGUUCAUGACUAAAACUACGAUGGAAUGCAAGCCUAUAGGACUUGCGCGGUGUGCUGUUGUUCUAGCGGUCUCUUAGUUUGGAUGGCUGUGUCUUGCGUUGGUUCUAUUGGCUCUGUAGAUCCUCUUAGUUAGUCGGCGUGCUAUCAGAUGAUAUGUAAUCUGCUUAUCUUUUCUAUAUGUCCUCUCUGCCAUGGCUUUUAAAGACCAUGCUGUGGCCUUUGGUGUUCACUUGUUUUUGUUGCUCUCGGCAGAAUGAACAACUAUUAGUUGGUAUAAUAUAUUUUUCUUAUAUA